This 459-nucleotide ribosomal RNA is filed under the name uncultured bacterium. RNAcentral's name for it is "bacterial SSU rRNA". It matches the Rfam family "Bacterial small subunit ribosomal RNA", at positions 340 to 789 of the family's 1533-position model. The record is from RNAcentral.
UACGGGCAGCAGUGGGGAAUAUUGCACAAUGGGCGAAAGCCUGAUGCAGCUAUGCCGCGUGUAUGAAGAAGGCCUUAGGGUUGUAAAGUACUUUCAUCGGGGAGGAAAAAACAAAACUAAUAAUUUUAUUUCUUGACGUUACCCGAAAAAGAAGCACCGGCUAACUCCGUGCCAGCAGCCGCGGUAAUACGGAGGGUGCUAGCGUUAAUCAGAAUUACUGGGCGUAAAGAGCACGUAGGUGGUUUUUUUAAAGUCAGAUGUGAAAUCCCUGGGCUUAACCUGGAACUGCAUUUUGAAACUGAAAUACUAGAGUAUCGUAGAGGGAGGUAGAAUUCUAGGUGUAGCGGUGAAAUGCGUAGAUAUCUGGAGGAAUACCUGUGGCGAAAGCGGCCUCCUAAACGAAUACUGACACUGAGGGUGCGAAAGCGUGGGGAGCGAAACAGGGAUUAGGAUACCCGU